RNAcentral lists this long non-coding RNA (867 nucleotides) under Heterocephalus glaber (naked mole-rat). Its description in RNAcentral is "lncRNA (ENSHGLG00000050260.1)". Lineage: Eukaryota; Metazoa; Chordata; Mammalia; Rodentia; Bathyergidae. The record is from RNAcentral.
CACAUGACAGUUACGGCACAUAUAUCACAAGUUUGUUCAGGGAUUUCCACUUUGUUCUUCAGAGGUAGUAGUUUAGGACAGUAGGCUUUGUAGCUCAUGCAAGUUGUUGCCUUUCUGCUGCCUUGCCUCAUGGCCAUGAAGAAGCAGUUGGACCUGCAAUUCCUCCACCUUUCCCUGGCUCCUCCUUCAGCUUCUUCCAUACAUGGCACAGAAGAUGCCAUUCAGAAUACCACAUUGCAUUUGGUCAUAUUGAUCCCUUAAGCACCUCUAAACUAAACUGUGACCGUUUAUCAGAAUUUCCUUGUUUUUGAAGACUGUGAUAUCUGAUUGCUGAACAAAUUAUCUUUUUCUCCACCGAAUUGUCUUUGCACUUUUGAAGAAGAGAUGGAAGAAGAGGAAGAACAUUGUUCAUUAUGUACGCAUCUAUUUCUGGACUUUCUACUCUCUUCCACUGAUCUAUUUGUGAAUUAUUUGAUUAUCAUAGUGUAUGGUGAGGCCCGAGUCAAGCUAGCCUCUGUACCUCCAUUUUUAGUAAAAUCUCCAUUUAUGCAUGGCACUGACCUCUGCCUGAACCCCCAGGUAGUGUGUCAAGAUAAGAGCUGUUGUCAAGAUAAGUGUUCUGAGAAAAACUGCAAAAUGUACCGUUCCCGUAGCGGUCGUUUUGCUUCUGUAACUGCGCUUGCCGCCCCCGCCCUCGCCCUCGCCCUCACCGCUUACCGGGCUAACUGAUUGGCCACUGGAGCUCGAGAGAGAGCAAACUUCCUGCUUAUGAAACUGCUUAAAAACUGCAGCUGAAAGACGUCCGGGGUCCUUCUCUGGGGCUGCGUCCUUGAGAUUGGACCCUGGACGGCGAAAUAAAAGCUUGGC